This 492-nucleotide ribosomal RNA is filed under the name uncultured bacterium. RNAcentral's name for it is "partial 16S ribosomal RNA". It matches the Rfam family "Bacterial small subunit ribosomal RNA", at positions 29 to 507 of the family's 1533-position model. The record is from RNAcentral.
AGUGAACGCUGGCGGUAGGCCUAACACAUGCAAGUCGAACGGCAGCACAGUAAGCGCUUGCCCUUACGGGUGGCGAGUGGCGGAUGGGUGAGGAAUACAUAGGCAUCUACUUUUUCGUGGGGGACAACGUAGGGCCACUUAUGCUAAUACCGCAUAUGAUCUACGGGAGAAAGCAGUGGUUCUUCGGACCUUGCGCGACUGAAUGAGAUGAUGUCGGAUUAGCUAGUUGGCGGGGUAAAGGCCCACCAAGGCGACGAUCCGUAGCUGAUCUGAGAGGAUGAUCAGCCACACUGGAACUGAGACACGGUCCAGACUCCUACGGGAGGCAGCAGUGGGGAAUAUUGGACAAUGGGCGCAAGCCUGAUCCAGCCAUACCGCGUGGGUGAAGAAGGCCUUCGGGUUGUAAAGCCCUUUUGUUGGGAAAGAAAAGCAGCAGGUGAAAACCCCGCUGUUCUGACGGUACCCAAACAGUAAGCACCGGCUAACUUCGUG